GGCACGGUGGUUCAGUGGUUAGAGCGCCCGCCUCAUGAACGGGAGGUUGUGGGUUCGAACCCCGGCCAAAUCA
Molecule: transfer RNA, 73 nt
Filed under: Strongylocentrotus purpuratus (purple sea urchin)
Lineage: Eukaryota; Metazoa; Echinodermata; Echinoidea; Camarodonta; Strongylocentrotidae
Rfam family: tRNA
About the family: Transfer RNA (tRNA) molecules are approximately 80 nucleotides in length.
Source: Rfam by way of RNAcentral